AGCCCAGUUCUGACCAACCAGAACUAGUUCUGGCGUCGUGGAGGUACGUCGUCUUCGGUUGUAGUUUGUAGGUCGCUUGUCAUAUUCCUAUGAAUUGAGAUUCUAAUUGCUCUUGAAGGCAUGUGAUAGGCACCUCAGUUGCUCUGAGCGAGAGAGAGAGAGAACGAACCUUGCCAUGUGCUCGGUGGUGGUUCACCUUGUCCACGCUAAUUGCGAAAAGAGACUUGAUGACGACAAUUAGCUUCUUGUCCUGUUUCUUCAUAUUCUUAUUGCAUGAUGGAUGCUGCAGUGAGUCGGUUCUUCCUGUUCAAUACUGUUAUGCACUUCUAUGCCCUUGAGCACAGUUUGCAACAAAAGUAAGGUCUAGCGCUGAAAAUAGCCACUCAGAAACUAGACAAGCGAUGCAUAAAAUGAUCAAUAUUGUUAUGCAUAAAAAGGUCAGAGCAGCUGCCAGCUUUCUAUUCGGCACAUUAAUUAAUUUCUUCGUAACCUGAACGCGGGAAGCUAAGAUCACCAGCAAAAAAAAGUUCCGAGACUGUAGCUGAUAUCAUGAUGAAUUUGUGAAAUGUCAUGUAAGCGGCUAAUGUAGAAGAAUGACACCGAGGUAAUCCAAUCAUAAGCGUCGUGCCUAAUUUACUGUGAAGCUAUGCUGACAGAAGACCUAAACCUGAUGGUGAUAUAUCAACAAUUUCUACGUUUCACUCAGCAAGCAGCAUUCACCUUCUUCAAGUGAGUGAAAGAGGUAUACGCCUUCAAUGUACCCUCAGAUAUCACAAUCAACUAUUAAUUCCUUCACAUGACUUAUCGUUUCCAGAUUCCAAAUUUCUAUACAUAUGCGGCAACUUGGUGCCAUGCAUGCUUGACUUAUUCCUCGUCAAUUUGUGAUCAAUUCCCUGUCAGCCAGCCUGAAAUGCCCUCGACUUCAGUAGGCCAUUCACUGUAUCUGAUGUCUCACCUGCGUUUGUUCUUUGUUGAAGGUCAAACCACUGAAAGCAUCUAGAAAGUGCGCACUGUAACUCACAAGAGUCGCUCUUCUACAUCGAAGUGGAAGAGCUUGCAUUGUCUUCCUGCACCUGGGAAGAAGGUUAUGAUUGAUCCUUAGAACUGUGAGCUUCCUGGGCUUUUCAGUUCACGACGUUGAGCUUCGAUGGCCAUCCAGUCCUACACAUGGCUCCUGGCCAACUGGAUCAAAUAAAUGCCAUGGGAACCAAAACCCUAAAUUCGGUUUCACUUGAAAAAGAAGUCCUGUUAAUUACCUGCCGUCGGUUCCAGUAGCUCAAAGGGACGUCAGCUGUUGCAGAAUUCACAGCUCCGGCUCACUAUAGAUCAAAAAGUUGCCGUCGUCUUGUAGCUACGCCUAAUAUUUUGCGGGUUUACUGUAGAUGUGGGUGAAGGCCUGGAAUUCGACAAUGUGUGCCAUGUAGACGAUCACAAGAUCGCCAUCAUCCUACACAAUUGCGUAGCAGUUGGCUCCUUGGCCGAACGUGUUGGUCACCCAUGACGGCAGCCGGCUCUUCGCAAAAUCGUACAACACAAGGUUGCAGUCGUUCUGCAUAGCAAGCAGAUACCUGUCAUUCUUGCUCCGAAGGGCGAAUCCUACCGGAAACUGACCUAGUGCCACUACUAUGCUCUGUGCCUCUUGAACCCCAUCCGCAGCGCAUGGAAUGGAGGUUAGUGUCAUCACAAAGUUCAAGAGGUUGAGUAAGCGGCUUUUGAAAAUGUACAUCUCCAUUCCUUAUAAAACAGGUAGUUAUUCUACUUAUGUGCUCGAUUCAUGUUUUAGGUGUGCGUUAUUUUACAAGCCACUCUUAAUUCAUCUUCUUCAUCAUCACCAGGUAUUGCGCAUGAAAAAGGCAGCUGCGACACGCAUUUGUACCCUGUUCGCUCCACCAGUCAUCUGCUGCUAAGUUACAGGAUUGAGUAUCGUAGGCAAUCCAGAAACCGUGUUAAAAUUCAAACCACUUUCCUUUGUUGCUAACAAUCUUUCGUCGCAUAUUGUUGACUAAAGGUAGUGCUGGCGAGUUGGUUUGCACGUCACUUAUGUGUUACGUAUGUAUGGCGUGCUAUUCGUAGAACGCCCGAUCAGGACUGCAAUUGAAGCGAUGAGUGAAAAAUGUACCUUGUUUUAGAAUUCAAAUAUGGCUUCCUAGUUACGACGGU
Molecule: long non-coding RNA, 2160 nt
Filed under: Physcomitrium patens
Lineage: Eukaryota; Viridiplantae; Streptophyta; Bryopsida; Funariales; Funariaceae
Description: long non-coding RNA (PPAT_LNC002493)
Source: RNAcentral